RNAcentral lists this ribosomal RNA (429 nucleotides) under Chloroflexota bacterium. RNAcentral's name for it is "Chloroflexi bacterium partial 16S ribosomal RNA". It matches the Rfam family "Bacterial small subunit ribosomal RNA", at positions 355 to 776 of the family's 1533-position model. The record is from RNAcentral. Lineage: Bacteria; Bacillati; Chloroflexota.
UGGGGAAUAUUGCACAAUGUGCGCAAGCCUGAUGCAGCCAUGCCGCGUGUGUGAAGAAGGCCUUCGGGUUGUAAAGCACUUUCAGCGGGGAGGAAGGCGGUGAGGUUAAUAACCUCAUCGAUUGACGUUACCCGCAGAAGAAGCACCGGCUAACUCCGUGCCAGCAGCCGCGGUAAUACGGAGGGUGCAAGCGUUAAUCGGAAUUACUGGGCGUAAAGCGCACGCAGGCGGUUGAUUGAGUCAGAUGUGAAAUCCCCGGGCUUAACCCGGGAAUUGCAUCUGAGACUGGUCAGCUAGAGUCUUGUAGAGGGGGGUAGAAUUCCAUGUGUAGCGGUGAAAUGCGUAGAGAUGUGGAGGAAUACCGGUGGCGAAGGCGGCCCCCUGGACAAAGACUGACGCUCAGGUGCGAAAGCGUGGGGAGCAAACAGG